CAGUAGCCGCGGUAAUACGUAGGUGGCAAGCGUUGUCCGGAAUUAUUGGGCGUAAAGGGCUCGCAGGCGGUUUCUUAAGUCUGAUGUGAAAGCCCCCGGCUCAACCGGGGAGGGUCAUUGGAAACUGGGAAACUUGAGUGCAGAAGAGGAGAGUGGAAUUCCACGUGUAGCGGUGAAAUGCGUAGAGAUAUGGAGGAACACCAGUGGCGAAGGCGACUCUCUGGUCUGUAACUGACGCUGAGGAGCGAAAGCGUGGGGAGCGAACAGGAUUAGAUACCCGUGUAGUCCCUGUCUCUUAUAC
RNAcentral lists this ribosomal RNA (301 nucleotides) under uncultured bacterium. RNAcentral describes it as "partial 16S ribosomal RNA". It matches the Rfam family "Bacterial small subunit ribosomal RNA", at positions 509 to 807 of the family's 1533-position model. The record is from RNAcentral.